CCUACGGGGGGCAGCAGUGAGGAAUAUUGGUCAAUGGCCGGAAGGCUGAACCAGCCAAGUAGCGUGAAGGAAGAAGGAUCUAUGGGUUGUAAACUUCUUUUAUAGGGGAAUAAAGGGAUCCACGUGUGGAUAUUUGCAUGUACCCUAUGAAUAAGCAUCGGCUAACUCCGUGCCAGCAGCCGCGGUAAUACGGAGGAUGCGAGCGUUUUCCGGAUUUAUUGGGUUUAAAGGGUGCGUAGGUGGUUUUUUAAGUCAGCGGUGAAAGUGUGUGGCUCAACCAUAAACUUGCCGUUGAAACUGGCAGACUUGAGUGUGUUUGAGGUAGCCGGAAUGCGUGGUGUAGCGGUGAAAUGCUUCGAUAUCACGCAGAACUCCGAUUGCGAAGGCAUCUUACUAAGCCAUAACUGACACUGAGGCACGAAAGCGUGGGUAUCAAACAGGAUUAGAUACCCCUGUAGUC
RNAcentral lists this ribosomal RNA (460 nucleotides) under uncultured bacterium. RNAcentral describes it as "partial 16S ribosomal RNA". It matches the Rfam family "Bacterial small subunit ribosomal RNA", at positions 338 to 795 of the family's 1533-position model. The record is from RNAcentral.